GCAAACUUGGUCAUUUAGAGGAAGUAAAAGUCGUAACAAGGUUUCCGUAGGUGAACCUGCGGAAGGAUCAUUAUUGAACAAACUUGGAUGGGUUGUUGCUGGCUUGUUCAAAGCAUGUGCACACCUUCUCCAUUUUUAAAACCCACCUGUGCACCUUGUGUAAACCUGAACCACCGUUCGAGAGGGACAACUUCUCGGUCUUGGAAAUUGCUUGUGUGUGUGUGCCAAACAUCCAGCUUUUCUUGUAUUCAGGUCUAUGUCCUUUAUAUACUCCAUAGGAAUGUACCACAGAACGUUGUCAAAAUAUACAAGGCAUUUUUAUGCCUAUAAAACCAAAUACAACUUUCAACAACGGAUCUCUUGGCUCUCGCAUCGAUGAAGAACGCAGC
This 389-nucleotide unclassified non-coding RNA is filed under the name uncultured fungus. RNAcentral describes it as "partial contains small subunit ribosomal RNA, internal transcribed spacer 1, and 5.8S ribosomal RNA". The stretch from base 1 to 73 matches the Rfam family "Eukaryotic small subunit ribosomal RNA", at positions 1759 to 1831 of the family's 1831-position model. Lineage: Eukaryota; Fungi. The record is from RNAcentral.